RNAcentral lists this ribosomal RNA (468 nucleotides) under uncultured bacterium. RNAcentral describes it as "partial 16S ribosomal RNA". It matches the Rfam family "Bacterial small subunit ribosomal RNA", at positions 28 to 507 of the family's 1533-position model. The record is from RNAcentral.
GACGAACGCUGGCGGCGUGCUUAACACAUGCAAGUCGAACGGAAAGGCCCUGCUCUUGUGGGGCGCUCGAGUGGCGAACGGGUGAGUAUAACGUGAGUAUACUGUCCUUGACUUUGGGAUAUCUUCAGGAAACUCGGGCUAAUACCGCAUAUGAUCUCCUGCUGCACGGUGGGGGUUGGUAAGUUUCGGCGGUUGGGGAUGGAUUCGAGGCUUAUCAGCUUGUUGGUGUGGUAGGGGCUUACCAAGGCUUCGACGGGUAGCCGGCCUGAGAGGGUUACCGGCCACAAGGGGACUGCGAUACGGCGCAGACUCCUACGGGAGGCAGCAGUGGAGAAUAUUGCAGAAUGAGCUGAAGCCUGAUGCAGCAACGCCGCGUGCGGGAUGACGUCCUUCGGGUUGUGAACCGCUGUCGCCUGUGACGAGGCGUGAGUGACGGUAAUGGGUAAAGAAGCACCGGCUAACUACGUG